Molecule: ribosomal RNA, 495 nt
Filed under: uncultured bacterium
Lineage: Bacteria
Description: partial 16S ribosomal RNA
Rfam family: Bacterial small subunit ribosomal RNA
Source: RNAcentral
GACGAACGCUGGCGGCGUGCCUAAUACAUGCAAGUAGAACGCUGAAGGAGGAGCUUGCUUCUCUGGAUGAGUUGCGAACGGGUGAGUAACGCGUAGGUAACCUGCCUGGUAGCGGGGGAUAACUAUUGGAAACGAUAGCUAAUACCGCAUAAGAGUAGAUGUUGCAUGACAUUUGCUUAAAAGGUGCAAUUGCAUCACUACCAGAUGGACCUGCGUUGUAUUAGCUAGUUGGUGAGGUAACGGCUCACCAAGGCGACGAUACAUAGCCGACCUGAGAGGGGGAGCGGCCACACUGGGACUGAGACACGGCCCAGACUCCUACGGGAGGCAGCAGUAGGGAAACUUCGGCAAUGGACGGAAGUCUGACCGAGCAACGCCGCGUGAGUGAAGAAGGUUUUCGGAUCGUAAAGCUCUGUUGUAAGAGAAGAACGAGUGUGAGAGUGGAAAGUUCACACUGUGACGGUAUCUUACCAGAAAGGGACGGCUAACUACGUG